Molecule: small RNA, 543 nt
Filed under: Pongo abelii (Sumatran orangutan)
Lineage: Eukaryota; Metazoa; Chordata; Mammalia; Primates; Hominidae
Description: processed transcript
Source: RNAcentral
UCUCUGAAAUACCUAAGCAGGGAGUCAUUUCAGAGCAACGAGACUAUCCUGGAACUUCUGGUGCCUCACUCCUGAUGCGGAAGCUCGUCCAGAUAUUGUAGAAGUCAGUUCGAUGAUAUCAGAUGUCAUGAUGAAAUAUUUAGACAACUUAUCUAAAUCCCAGUUGUCCUUGGAGAAGAAGCUAGAACGGGAACGAAGACGCACACAAAGGUAUUUUAUGGAAGCCAACCGGAACACCAUCACAUGUCACCAUGAGCUGACUCUUCUAUCUCAUGAGACCUUUGAGAAGGCAAGUUUGAGUAGCAGCAGCAGUGGAGCAGCCAGCCUGAAAAGUGAACUUUCAGAAAGCGCAGACCUGCCCCCUGAAGGCUUCCAGGCCUCCUAUGGUAAAGACGAAGACAGGGCCUGUGACGAAAUCCUGUCAGAUGAUAACUUCAACCUGGAAAAUACUGAGAAAGAUACAUAUUCAGAGGUAGAUGAUGAAUUGGACAUUUCGGAUAACUCCAGCAGCUCCAGUUCAAGCCCUCUGAAAGAAUCUACAUU